RNAcentral lists this long non-coding RNA (1031 nucleotides) under Nicotiana tabacum (common tobacco). RNAcentral describes it as "long non-coding RNA (NTAB_LNC002286)". The record is from RNAcentral. Lineage: Eukaryota; Viridiplantae; Streptophyta; Magnoliopsida; Solanales; Solanaceae.
UUAUCUUGACUUAGAUGUAACACUCUCGUUUUUUAUCGUGGGAUUCUUGACUCUGACAUGGAGUUCUUGAUCCUUUUUGUGUACGUGUAGUAUAUGUAUUUUUGAAGAACUCAUUCAACACUGUUUGAAGUGUUUAUGCUUGAUAUGAGUAAUACAACUAACUGAGUUGAGCUGGUAAAUAAUGUCAGGUCAAAUUGACUAAUCUUCAAGUAUGAGUAAUUUCCCUAGUUUUGAGUUUUGAGAUAUGAGAACUCAAACAUUGGAAUCAUAAUUUGACAGUUCGCGGUCUAAUAGUCCCCAGUAGGUUAGUUAGUUUCGAUAUUGAUGGACUUUCAAAUGGUCUAGUUCCAACAUAGGGACGGUACCGAAGCUCUUUUUAUCAAAUAUUUUGUACUCUGGCUGGGAACUACGGAGGUUCCAAAUGUUGUCGAGGAUCAUGCCAUAUCUUGAUUUGAGCUAUUUAUAGUGACUUUGAUGCGUUUUUUAUUUGAAACCUUAUUACCGGAGUAAUUUUCACUGCUUUCUUUAUAAAUUUCUCGCAUCAUAUAUUUUGUUUGUUUGGUCCAUGUGGCAUUUUAGCUUUUGGAGCCUUGAAUAUUCUCAAAUAUAAUUCUCUUCUAACAAGGCAGGUAGUACGGGAUGAGACGCACUCAGAGUUAUCGAGAGCAUGCUUAUCUUUGGGUAAAGUCCCAUUCUGCAAGUAAUAAAUGAAUUUAUUAUGCCAAUUCCAAAUUAAAUUAGUCAGGCUUACCUCAUUUUCAUUCUAAUUGAUGAUAGAUCAGGAAUCGCCUAAAUAAGAGAUGGCUUGAUCCCGAGACUGUUUGAUCCGGAAAUGAUAUUUCUCAAUAAGUGCCCGGAGUUGCUUUCUAAGCCAGUGAUAUCAGCAGUAGAUCUGAGACUAACACAUCCGGCUCGAUUUUCUUGGGCUGCAUAGUUUUCUUGGAUUUGAUCAAUCGUUAAAUCAAUAUUUUUGCUCUGAGUCCCCAAGCUAAUUUAAGCCCUGUAGCAUAUGCUUCAUACUCGGCUUUGUU